ACUCAAAGGAAUUGACGGGGACCCGCACAAGCAGCGGAGCAUGUGGUUUAAUUCGAAGCAACGCGAAGAACCUUACCAAGACUUGACAUCUAUAUGACCGCCUUCGAAAAAGGGCUUCUCUUCGGAGCAUAUAGACAGGUGGUGCACGGUUGUCGUCAGCUCGUGUCGUGAGAUGUUUGGUUAAGUCCAGCAACGAGCGCAACCCUUAUCACUAGUUGCCAGUAUUAAGUUAGGAACUCUAGUGAGACUGCCGUAGAUAAUACGGAGGAAGGUGGGGAUGACGUCAAAUCAUCAUGCCCCUUACGUCUUGGGCUACACACGUGCUACAAUGGCUAUUACAAAGAGCAGCAAUAUGGUAACAUUGAGCGAAUCUCACAAAAAUAGUCUCAGUUCGGAUUGUGGGCUGCAACUCGCCCACAUGAAGUCGGAGUUGCUAGUAAUCCCGAAUCAGAACGUCGGGGUGAAUGCGUUCCCGGGUCUUGUACACACCGCCCGU
Molecule: ribosomal RNA, 496 nt
Filed under: uncultured bacterium
Lineage: Bacteria
Description: bacterial SSU rRNA
Rfam family: Bacterial small subunit ribosomal RNA
Source: RNAcentral